Molecule: unclassified non-coding RNA, 238 nt
Filed under: uncultured fungus
Lineage: Eukaryota; Fungi
Description: sequence contains ITS1, 5.8S rRNA gene
Rfam family: 5.8S ribosomal RNA (bases 190-238)
Source: RNAcentral
UCUCCGUUGGUGAACCAGCGGAGGGAUCAUUACAGAGUCGUAAAACACUCCCAAACCCAUGUGAAUUUACCUUUGUUGCCUCGGCAGGACCUACCCGGUAUCUACCCUGUAGUUACCCUGUAGCCUGCCGGUGGACCAAUAAACUCUUGUUAUUUUAUGGAAAUCUGAGCGUCUUAUUUAAUAAGUCAAAACUUUCAACAACGGAUCUCUUGGUUCUGGCAUCGAUGAAGAACGCAGC